CUACGUAGGGGGCGAGCGUUGUCCGGAAUGACUGGGCGUAAAGGGCGUGUAGGCGGCGGUGUAAGUCUGGAGUGAAAGUCCCGCAUUCAAUGUGGGAAUUGCUUUGGAUACUGCAGUGCUAGAGUGCGGAAGAGGUAAGUGGAAUUCCCAGUGUAGCGGUGAAAUGCGUAGAGAUUUGGAGGAACACCAGUGGCGAAGGCGACUUACUGGGCCGUAACUGACGCUGAGGCGCGAAAGCGUGGGGAGCGAACAGGAUUAGAUACCCUGGUAGUCCACGCGGUAAACGAUGAAUGCUAGGUGUUGCGGGUAUCGACCCCUGCAGUGCCGGAGUAAACACAAUAAGCAUUCCGCCUGGGGAGUACGGCCGCAAGGUUGAAACUCAAAUGAAUUGACGGGG
This 397-nucleotide ribosomal RNA is filed under the name uncultured bacterium. RNAcentral's name for it is "partial 16S ribosomal RNA". It matches the Rfam family "Bacterial small subunit ribosomal RNA", at positions 523 to 918 of the family's 1533-position model. The record is from RNAcentral.